This 498-nucleotide ribosomal RNA is filed under the name Triticum aestivum (bread wheat). RNAcentral's name for it is "partial small subunit ribosomal RNA". The record is from RNAcentral. Lineage: Eukaryota; Viridiplantae; Streptophyta; Magnoliopsida; Poales; Poaceae.
AUGGUCGAGCGCCAGGCGCAAGUCCAGGUGUUGCGCACCCUUGGGAUCGUUGGCACCAACCAGAAGAUCAUCGCCACAGAAAUGAAGGCCUAUGAUGACGUGUUUGCAACAUCGAUCCCACUUGCCGUGCUCUCUGCCAUUGCGGCAUUGGUUGAUCGCGAACUCCCCGUCGACUCGGCACCCGCGCACGCCAUUGCGACGCCUCUGGGGGCGCGAUCACGGUCCAGCCUUGCGCUCGGACCCCCCGUCGACCUUGUGCUCAUGGAUCACAACCUCAAGAUUGCGAUAUGGAAUGUGCGAGGCCUCAAUGCAUGCGCUAGACGCACCACUGUCCGCUCACUGAUCAUGUCUAGUGGCGCCACCAUUGUCUGUAUUCAAGAAACUAAAAUGGCUUUGAUUUGCUCGUCGGUUGUCCUUGAGGCGCUCGGUUCUGAGUUUGACGAGUAUGUGUACCUGCCGGCGAUAGGCACUUGCGGAGGCAUACUGCUGGCAUGGUAA